Callithrix jacchus (white-tufted-ear marmoset) is the source of this 2114-nucleotide long non-coding RNA. Lineage: Eukaryota; Metazoa; Chordata; Mammalia; Primates; Cebidae. The record is from Ensembl.
AUGACUAAGCUCCCCAUAAUCUGCAUAGAGUUAUGGAUCAGAGGGGCAGUGAUCCCUCAGAUGGGUGUCAGAGGACCUGAGUGCUAUGCCUGCCUGGGUCUGCAUUGCCAGCCAGGCCUAAACUGGUGUACAGUGGGGUUGCCAUCACUGUUGCUUGGAAAAGUCCCUUCUUCUUUCUGGCCUCAACCAUCGUGGCUCCAUGAGGGGCUGAUCUCCAGCUCUGAAAGUCUCUUUCUGUCUCUGGGGCUCAGUUUCCCUAUGUGUAAAGUGAGGGGCCAGUCUGGCUCCUCUUUAAAGUCCCCGCCAGCCCUGAUAUCUGGUGUGCUGAGUGUAUAAUGUGGGCAUUUCCGCUCUCAUGACCUGCCAGUGGGACCGAGGUUUUGGUGGCGCCACUCACAUCAUAUGCGUCGUAGGCGGCCCUGACUCUGCUGAAGCCUCCGCCAGGAAGCCGACAGGGGAAAAGUCCUCCCUGCACCAGCCGUGGAUUUCAGGGAGAGGCACCCACCCACCGGGAGAACAAACAUUAGCAUCCGUGUGGUCACCACUUGGAGGUGCACAGAUGAGGGCUAAUCAAAGGCAUGGAGAGGUGUGUUUUUGUCAGUGAAUCCCCUUGGCUGGGGAGCAAAUCUCCAUCUUGGCAGGAGGGACUCUUACUCGAUCAGGGCUGAGUUCUACGAGCGACUGUAAAUUCUCAGUAAAACAGCCCCGUUGGGCCUAAUUUCAACCACUUAACCCAGAGGUUGCAUUCUUGAAGUGUUCUGCCAAACGCAUUCGUCUCCCGGCUCCGAGACCACAGCUCCUGAGCUCUUGCACGCAGCAGCUGCUUUACCGCCAGCCUUUCUGUUCUCACCUGCCUGCGAGACUUGGGGUCCACCCCUUUCGACCCCUGCUUCCUUCUCACUCCCACUCAAGGGAGCCUCCCAAUGUGGCUUCUUGGCAAGUACAGGUCUGAGCUGGCCACCCUGGCUUCUGUUGGUUUGAGACCAAACAGCCAGGCAACUCAAUCAAAACCUGGUCAGCAUUGGAAACCCUAUCUAAAUGCCUGACUGGGUCAGUGAGACACUAAGUCAAGUUGGCCAAAGAACAGCAGAAAUGGGCAACCAGACCAAACUACUAGUCAGCGUGGCCGAACAUCAGUCAGCUGGUCUGAAUAGUGCCAAAACGACCUAUCCACUUAGCCCAAGCAAUGAGUACCUUCAAAACAACUGGGUCAAACUAUAACAAAACAUCCACUUAAUUUGAAUAACAAGUCAAUGUGGUCAAGUCAUACCAAAGCAAUUGUUCAGCUCAGUCAAACAACCAAUCAGCUUGAUCAAACAACUCUCAAACAACCUGUCUUUAGAGUUAAACAAAGUCAAAACACCAAACCAACUCAACAACUAGCCAUUAGGUCAAACAAUGCCAGAACAGUGGGUCAGCUGGGUCAAAUAAUAGCAACACACCCAGCUGUUGUAAACAACCAAUCGAUGGCCUCAUACAACGUCAAAAUAUUUGGAUUAAUUCAUUCAAACAUCCAGUCAUUUCCAUCAAACCCAGUCCACAGAGUUAAUGAAUGGCAAAACACCUACCCAACCUAAACAGCCAGUCAAAUGGGUCCAACCGUGACAGAAUAACUGGUCUACUUGGUGAAACCACCAAUCACCACAGCUAAACAAGCAGUCAACCCAAUCAAACUAUGCAAAAGCAACAGGUCACACUGGUCACCAAGCAGUAACAAAACACCCACUCCGUUCUGUCAAACAACCACUCAAGCAGGAGAGGCUGUGUCUAAACAUUCAGUCAAUUCCAUCAAGAGCCGGUUGCCUCGAUACUAUGAAACCAAAACAACCACUUAACUUGGUUAAAUUAAUGAUGAGGCUACGUACUUGGAGAUGUACCCUCCACCCUGUCCAGCAUUCCCAGCUGAGCAUCACCAAAAGAGGCAGUCUUACAGCAAAGUGAAUGGUUAACUUCUCUCUUUCACCAAAACACCCAUCAGUUCAGUCUUGCAACAUCCAGGAAGAAAUCAGACCUCUCGCUCCUCUGGGUAAACUCUCUAACUUGGAGAUUGAGUUUCUCAGGUCAGGGGAGAAUGGUCAUAGGCAGAUGGGGAGGUUUGAGAGAACUGUUUCUGU